Molecule: signal recognition particle RNA, 97 nt
Filed under: Gammaproteobacteria bacterium
Lineage: Bacteria; Pseudomonadati; Pseudomonadota; Gammaproteobacteria
Description: signal recognition particle sRNA small type
Rfam family: Bacterial small signal recognition particle RNA
About the family: The signal recognition particle (SRP) is a universally conserved ribonucleoprotein involved in the co-translational targeting of proteins to membranes.
Source: RNAcentral
CGCCGGUCCUCUCGCGACGGCGAACCGUGAACCCCGUCAGGCCCGGAAGGGAGCAGCGGUAACGGAGAUGCCGGGCGCCGGGAUGUGGCUGGCGCGG